CCUGCCCUCCACUUCGGGAUAAGCCUUGGAAACGGGGUCUAAUACCGGAUAUGAGCUCCUGCUGCAUGGCGGGGGUUGGAAAGUUUUUCGGUGGGGGAUGGGCUCGCGGCCUAUCAGCUUGUUGGUGGGGUAAUGGCCUACCAAGGCGUCGACGGGUAGCCGGCCUGAGAGGGCGACCGGCCACACUGGGACUGAGACACGGCCCAGACUCCUACGGGAGGCAGCAGUGGGGAAUAUUGCACAAUGGGCGAAAGCCUGAUGCAGCGACGCCGCGUGAGGGAUGACGGCCUUCGGGUUGUAAACCUCUUUCAGCAGGGAAGAAGCGCAAGUGACGGUACCUGCAGAAGAAGCGCCGGCUAACUACGUGCCAGCAGCCGCGGUAAUACGUAGGGCGCAAGCGUUGUCCGGAAUUAUUGGGCGUAAAGAGCUCGUAGGCGGUUUGUCGCGUCUGGUGUGAAAACCUCAGGCUCAACCUGGGGCGUGCAUCGGGUACGGGCAGACUAGAGUGCGGUAGGGGAGACUGGAAUUCCUGGUGUAGCGGUGGAAUGCGCAGAUAUCAGGAGGAACACCGAUGGCGAAGGCAGGUCUCUGGGCCGCAACUGACGCUGAGGAGCGAAAGCAUGGGGAGCGAACAGGAUUAGAUACCCUGGUAGUCCAUGCCGUAAACGUUGGGCACUAGGUGUGGGGCUCAUUCCACGAGUUCCGUGCCGCAGCUAACGCAUUAAGUGCCCCGCCUGGGGAGUACGGCCGCAAGGCUAAAACUCAAAGG
Molecule: ribosomal RNA, 769 nt
Filed under: Isoptericola jiangsuensis
Lineage: Bacteria; Bacillati; Actinomycetota; Actinomycetes; Micrococcales; Promicromonosporaceae
Description: bacterial SSU rRNA
Rfam family: Bacterial small subunit ribosomal RNA
Source: RNAcentral